UGCAACCAAAAAGCUUUACAUAGACACAGCCAAAAGAAAGGAAGUGCUUCAGAUAGACUGUAGUGGAUUGAAUUAUAAGACUGCUUACUGGUGCACUGUGGGCAACUCGAUUCGUGUUGCCCACAGCUUAUUUGAUUUUAUGCAGGCUAACGUGCAAAAAUCAAUUUACCAUUAUUCUUUCCUUUGUCCAUCCAAAACAUAUAAGAGAAAAUUACAUAAAUAUUUGUUUUAGUUUAUGUUAUUACCAAAAUACUAAAUGC
Molecule: long non-coding RNA, 260 nt
Filed under: Amborella trichopoda
Lineage: Eukaryota; Viridiplantae; Streptophyta; Magnoliopsida; Amborellales; Amborellaceae
Description: long non-coding RNA (ATRI_LNC000461)
Source: RNAcentral